GAUGAACGCUGGCGGCGUGCUUAACACAUGCAAGUCGAACGGAAAGGCUCCUGCUUGCUGGGGUACUCGAGUGGCGAACGGGUGAGUAACACGUGGGUGAUCUGCCCUGCACUUCGGGAUAAGCCUGGGAAACUGGGUCUAAUACCGGAUAGGACGAUGGUUUGGAUGCCAUUGUGGAAAGUUUUUCGGUGUGGGAUGAGCUCGCGGCCUAUCAGCUUGUUGGUGGGGUAAUGGCCUACCAAGGCGUCGACGGGUAGCCGGCCUGAGAGGGUGGACGGCCACAAUGGGACUGAGAUACGGACCAGACUGCUACGGGAGGCAGCAGUGGGGAGUAUUGCACAAUGAGCGCAAGCCUGAUGCAGCGACGCCGCGUGGGGGAUGACGGCCUUCGGGUUGUAAACUCCUUUCGCUAGGGACGAAGCGCAAGUGACGGUACCUGGAGAAGAAGCACCGGCUAACUACGUG
This 465-nucleotide ribosomal RNA is filed under the name uncultured bacterium. RNAcentral describes it as "partial 16S ribosomal RNA". It matches the Rfam family "Bacterial small subunit ribosomal RNA", at positions 28 to 507 of the family's 1533-position model. The record is from RNAcentral.